Mesoplodon densirostris (Blainville's beaked whale) is the source of this 342-nucleotide long non-coding RNA. RefSeq lists it as uncharacterized. The record is from RefSeq and is a predicted model, not a curated record. The transcript is spliced from 3 exons. Lineage: Eukaryota; Metazoa; Chordata; Mammalia; Artiodactyla; Ziphiidae.
UGUCCCUCAGUCAUCGCUUUUCAUCUACCCCAAUCUUGGAGAAUAAUUACCAGUCUCAGUCCCAUUUUACAGAUCGGGAAACUGAAGCUCAGAGAGGUUGAGUAACUCGUCCAAGGCCACACAGCUAAUCGGCAUCCAAGGCAGGAUUCCAACUCAAAUGGUCUGACUCCAGCCCGUGCCCUCAGCCCCUAUGUGCUUCUGCCUGGACACAGAUGAGGAUGCUGAAGCUCAGAGAGAGGAAACGACAUCCCCAAGGCCGGCCAGCUGAUGCAGAAACCGUGGCCCAGAGAGGUUAAGUGAUUCGCCAAAGGUCACACAGUGAGAAGGACCACCCCCCCAGAU